UACGAAGGGUGCAAACGUUGCUCGGAAUUAUUGGGCGUAAAGCGUGCGUAGGCGGCUGCGCAAGUCGGUUGUGAAACCCCGGGGCUCAACCCCGGAACUGCAUCCGAUACUGCGUGGCUAGAGGUAGGUAGGGGAGAUCGGAAUUCCUGGUGUAGCGGUGAAAUGCGCAGAUAUCAGGAGGAACACCGGUGGCGAAGGCGGAUCUCUGGGCCUUACCUGACGCUCAGGCACGAAAGCUAGGGGAGCGAACAGG
RNAcentral lists this ribosomal RNA (253 nucleotides) under uncultured bacterium. RNAcentral describes it as "partial 16S ribosomal RNA". It matches the Rfam family "Bacterial small subunit ribosomal RNA", at positions 524 to 776 of the family's 1533-position model. The record is from RNAcentral.